CUGCCGGCCCCUCUUGAUGCCAGGGCUGGCACUGCCACCGCUGCUCUGCCAGCCCUGUCAGUGCCAGUGCCAAGAGAGGGGCUGUGAGGGGCCGGGCUGUGACCCCCGGGAGGGACCCAGACCUGGUGAGUGGCUGCUGGUCUCGGUGGGGAGCUGCUGCUGCCGGCACGAGUUCAGGCAGCGGUGGGACCUCAGGAGCACAGAGAGCUGCGUGCUUCCCGUGGCAGGAAAGUCCCUUUCUGGGCAGCAAGUUCCUCUCCAGGCUGGAAACCUCAUCUCCUGAAUUGGUGCUUCAGACUUUGAAGUGGCUGCGGAGCUCAGCAGCCGCCCCGACGCUCUGCCGGCCCCCACCGACCUCCCCACCGGGCAGAGCAGCCCCCGUGACGACCCCCCCAGGACCCUCCUGUGCCCCCGCGCUGGACGGGACCUCUGGAGUGUGUGUGACUCGCUGGGGUCCCGGUGCCUGCCCUGAAGAAGCAGGCAAGCCCCCGGGCCCAAGGCCAUGCCCGAGUGGAGUGAGGAGCAGCUGUGCAUCCCCCCCCACACAGACACCCCACGGCCCCCCACUGCAGCCCCAGCUCGGCCAUGGACAGCACAGGUGGGUGAUGCUGAGCCCCCCGGGGGGCUGGGGUGGGGGGA
RNAcentral lists this long non-coding RNA (639 nucleotides) under Manacus vitellinus (golden-collared manakin). RNAcentral's name for it is "lncRNA (ENSMVIG00005018977.1)". The record is from RNAcentral. Lineage: Eukaryota; Metazoa; Chordata; Aves; Passeriformes; Pipridae.